This 253-nucleotide ribosomal RNA is filed under the name uncultured bacterium. RNAcentral's name for it is "partial 16S ribosomal RNA". It matches the Rfam family "Bacterial small subunit ribosomal RNA", at positions 524 to 776 of the family's 1533-position model. The record is from RNAcentral.
UACGAACCGUCCAAACGUUAUUCGGAAUUACUGGGCGUAAAGCGCGUGUAGGCGGUUUGCCAAGUCGGGUGUGAAAGCCUUGGGCUUAACCCAAGAAAUGCACUCGGUACUGGCAGACUAGAGGACCGGAGAGGAUAGUGGAAUUCCCAGUGUAGUGGUGAAAUACGUAGAGAUUGGGAAGAACACCAGUGGCGAAGGCGGCUAUCUGGACGGUUUCUGACGCUAAGACGCGAAAGCGUGGGGAGCAAACAGG